UACAAUGGUCGGUACAGAGGUGCGAACCCGCGAGGGGGAGCUAAUCCCACAAAGCCGAUCGUAGUCCGGAUCGCAGUCUGCAACUCGACUGCGUGAAGUCGGAAUCGCUAGUAAUCGUGGAUCAGCAUGUCACGGUGAAUACGUUCCCGGGUCUU
RNAcentral lists this ribosomal RNA (155 nucleotides) under uncultured Rhodocyclaceae bacterium. RNAcentral's name for it is "partial 16S ribosomal RNA". It matches the Rfam family "Bacterial small subunit ribosomal RNA", at positions 1226 to 1382 of the family's 1533-position model. Lineage: Bacteria; Pseudomonadati; Pseudomonadota; Betaproteobacteria; Rhodocyclales; Rhodocyclaceae. The record is from RNAcentral.